RNAcentral lists this long non-coding RNA (657 nucleotides) under Mytilus galloprovincialis (Mediterranean mussel). Lineage: Eukaryota; Metazoa; Mollusca; Bivalvia; Mytilida; Mytilidae. The record is from RNAcentral.
UUCUCUGGAUUUAAUUUCGAUCGGAACGUUGUUAUGAAAUAACGUUCCAUCUCUUUUCUAUAUGCUUCAUCCCGUCUACAUUUAAAAAUAGGCAUUAUUUGAAAAUGUUUUUUACCACAAGUGUCAAGAUGGGCACUAAUUGGCGAAUUUCUGUAUUGUGGUGUUUUUAUUUGUUCUUUGUGAACUCGCACCCGUUCACAGAGGCUAUUCCCGGUCUGUCCAAUAUAAUUUUCGUGACAACCAGGACAUGUGACGCAGUAAAUAAGAUUUGUUGUCUUACAAGUCAUAUUGGCGUUCACAUGAAAUUUUUUGCCAUCUUUAAAUGAUUUCAUUUUACCCGUUUCUAAAUAUUUUGUAUCUUGACCGCAAACACCGCAUCUUGAAUCUCCGCAAGACUUUAUUUCAAAGUCACUAACCUUCGGUUCGAACCGAGCUCUGGUUAAGUGUUUUCUUAAGUUUUUAGGUUGUCUUCGGCUGUAGAUUAAGUUUCCUUCCGGUAUCAAUUUUUUCAUAGUUUCACUUUCGUGUAGAAUCGGAAGGUUUGAUUUAAUUGUAUUAAAAACGUUUGGUAAAUACGGGUCAUGCGUACUAACAAACGGAUAUUUUCUUUAAGUUUUCAUCCGUGUCUUUCACUUUCGGGGUUCGUAAUUCUUGAAG